RNAcentral lists this ribosomal RNA (721 nucleotides) under Gordonia sp. VO34-3. RNAcentral's name for it is "bacterial SSU rRNA". It matches the Rfam family "Bacterial small subunit ribosomal RNA", at positions 21 to 755 of the family's 1533-position model. The record is from RNAcentral. Lineage: Bacteria; Bacillati; Actinomycetota; Actinomycetes; Mycobacteriales; Gordoniaceae.
GGCUCAGGACGAACGCUGGCGGCGUGCUUAACACAUGCAAGUCGAACGGAAAGGCCCAGCUUGCUGGGUGCUCGAGUGGCGAACGGGUGAGUAACACGUGGGUGAUCUGCCCCUGACUUUGGGAUAAGCCUGGGAAACUGGGUCUAAUACCGGAUAUGACCAUCUCUCGCAUGGGAGUUGGUGGAAAGCCUUGUGCGGUUGGGGAUGGGCCCGCGGCCUAUCAGCUUGUUGGUGGGGUAAUGGCCUACCAAGGCGACGACGGGUAGCCGACCUGAGAGGGUGAUCGGCCACACUGGGACUGAGACACGGCCCAGACUCCUACGGGAGGCAGCAGUGGGGAAUAUUGCACAAUGGGCGCAAGCCUGAUGCAGCGACGCCGCGUGAGGGAUGACGGCCUUCGGGUUGUAAACCUCUUUCACCAGGGACGAAGCGCAAGUGACGGUACCUGGAGAAGAAGCACCGGCCAACUACGUGCCAGCAGCCGCGGUAAUACGUAGGGUGCGAGCGUUGUCCGGAAUUACUGGGCGUAAAGAGCUCGUAGGCGGUUUGUCGCGUCGUCUGUGAAAUUCUGCAGCUUAACUGCAGGCGUGCAGGCGAUACGGGCAGACUUGAGUACUACAGGGGAGACUGGAAUUCCUGGUGUAGCGGUGAAAUGCGCAGAUAUCAGGAGGAACACCGGUGGCGAAGGCGGGUCUCUGGGUAGUAACUGACGCUGAGAGCG